CAGCCGCCGCGGUAAUACAGAGGGUGCGAGCGUUAAUCGGAUUUACUGGGCGUAAAGCGUGCGUAGGCGGCUUCUUAAGUCGGAUGUGAAAUCCCUGAGCUUAACUUAGGAAUUGCAUUCGAUACUGGGAAGCUAGAGUAUGGGAGAGGAUGGUAGAAUUCCAGGUGUAGCGGUGAAAUGCGUAGAGAUCUGGAGGAAUACCGAUGGCGAAGGCAGCCAUCUGGCCUAAUACUGACGCUGAGGUACGAAAGCAUGGGGAGCAAACAGGAUUAGAUACCCCGGUAGUCCCUGUCUCUUAACA
Molecule: ribosomal RNA, 301 nt
Filed under: uncultured bacterium
Lineage: Bacteria
Description: partial 16S ribosomal RNA
Rfam family: Bacterial small subunit ribosomal RNA
Source: RNAcentral